Molecule: long non-coding RNA, 3257 nt
Organism: Mesocricetus auratus (golden hamster)
Lineage: Eukaryota; Metazoa; Chordata; Mammalia; Rodentia; Cricetidae
Exons: 2
Source: RefSeq, a predicted model, not a curated record
CUUAUUGUCUCUGUUGGGCUUGAACUUUGUGAGAGGAGGAACAGGAUUUCUUCUCAUCUCCGAGACCUCCCACAGUGCUUACAAGCUCCUGUGUGCACAGCAGAGACUGAACGAGUAGUUAGUAACGCAGAUGACAUGUGAGGACCUGAACCGAGUACCAUGUGGGAGCACUCUCCGAUGACAACCAGUGAACAGGGAAGGAUCUCCCGAUGUAGCCCAGACUAGCCCCACUUCAGGCUCCUUACAUUUUGACUGAACUGAAACACCUUGAGAACCCAGACAAACAGAAUGAAGACAACAGGAAGUUGGCUGGAGCUUCAGGAAGCCACCUCAGAGGUGGCCUCAGAGAAAAACCAGUGUGGUGAGCUCAUGACAUGCGCAGGUGAUAAGAAGCACCACAGAAGGAAAAACCUGGCCAGUGUCACUAGUUUCCACAGUUCAAGGAAACGAAAAUAGCCCAGGUGGCAGAGAGACUUGUGUGUGUGGGAAAUUAUUCAAAGGCUGACAGAUGGGCUGGUGGUCUCCUCUCCUGCUAGCCUGGCUGUCUUGGCGUGGAAAGUCUUGCCUGGGAGCUGGGUCGCAGCAGCUACAGUGAAAUACUGGAAAUGAAAGCCAGCCGGGACAGAUCUAACAGCAGUGAGUCACAGAAAACCAAGAGCCAUCAGAUGCUCAGGAGGGAAGCUGAAGCCAGGAGACAGCUGAGCUGAGCAGGACACCCUGCUGUGACUAGCACAAGGACUGGAGUGUUCCAGUCAGGAGGAUUGGGCUCCUCAUCUCAGAAGCUGAGGCUGCACACAUGGAACUCCGGCUUUGCCCCAAGAUCAGGGGCACAAAACCCUGCCUAUUUCUGCCCUCGAGGGUGCCAGCCGGGCACACUCGCUCCUCCCCAGGCAUUGGCAGGGGUUUGGGGGCCUUGGGGAUUCUGAUACUUCCUGAGUAAAGCUAGGUGAGCAAUCUAGCAUCAUCGGGGUCCCAGCCCCCCACCCAAACCACCCUCCUUCAGGGCUUGAAAAUCUAGACCCUGCCUUCACAGGCUCUGUGCGCUGAAACCUUUUCCUGAGCAGUUUGUAAACUGUUGGCUCUUAAAUUUUUCCGGUUUAACUGGAUGGGCUAGUGCCUGAGGCCAUGCACUCAAGACCAUGGUUCCAAAGCUAGAAAAGAUAGGCCAUCCAGGGUCCCUAACCUCUCCUUAUUCAGGUCUGGUGGCCUUGGAGGAUCCUACCUCAGGCUGCUACACAGCCCAUGGUGGCAAAACACAAAUAAACUUGGGUAAUUUUUUUUUCCUCUCACAGGCCACAGUCGAGCUUAUUAAAAUUGGAUGACAGUAAACCAAUGACUAACUGGGUAAUUAAAACCACAAGGCUGGGAUCUCUGGGGCGCAGUUCUCUAAGCCAGUGUCCUCAUCUUUCCCUCAGCCUUUGUGAAUUUGAAACUCCCCAUGUGACCCCCACCCCUCUCAAGGCCAUUUUUCUGCUCAUCCAUGACUGUAUCCCCACUCCCUCGUCUGCUAUAAGGAUCAAGGGAAUCUAACCCCUCAGCUGAAGCACAGCCCAGAUUUCCAACAGACCAAGGCUCCUCAGCCUCUGAGCUUCCUGCCAGGAAGCCGCUUCUCUCUUUCUGUUCCAUGGAACUUUGGCUUCAAGCUCUCCGAGCCUCCCAGUUUCCUCAGGAGAGUGAGCUAGGAACUUCAACGUGACUCAAGCCACAGCUGAGAAGCCCAUGGGCUGCUUUAAACAGUGAUGUUUACAAUGCCCUCCAAGGCACUUCUAUGUUUCUACCUUUAAUAUAGGCUUAGGAGUUCCCACCUGCCUGUGGCAUGCUCUGUGGUGUCUCCCCACACCAAAGCCUCAUUCUCUGGCCUCCCUGCUCCCUUCUUUCCAACCAGAUACCCUACUCCCUCUUGGAGGUGUCCAAGGGCUAGACUUAAGAUAAAAAUGGUACUGUGGUUGCAACGUGCCCCCAGCAUUCACGUUCUGGGAACUCAAUACCUAGUGUGCAACAAAUAUCCAGGAUGUCCUCAGGGCUGAAACCCCAUCCCUCAGGAGGCUAAAGCAGGAAGAUUCUGAGUUCAAGGCCAGGCUGGGUGACAUAGUAAGUUUGAGCCCAGCUUGGGCUACAGAGUGAGACCCUGCCUCAAAAAAACAAACAAAAAGGAGGCAUUAAAAGGGCUUUUACAAGGGACCUUUAUGAGAACUUUUAACAAGCCCACUCCUGUGAUCGUUACUGUAUUAGCUUGGCUCUUUUGUUUCAUGAUGCCUUCAGCCACGUCAUGCUGCUGCAAGAAGGCCCUAAACAGCUUCAGCCUGCCCAGGCUGCACUUCUCAGUCUCCAGAACCAGGGGCCAAGUGGAUUCUUUAAAAAUACAUUACCAUUAUUGAUUAUCAUGCAUUUGCAUAGUCUACGUGUAGUGGGCAUGUGGGGCCAGCUCUCUCCUUCUCUCUUUAAGUAGGUUCUGGGAGCCCUGCCAGAUGAUUUUUGUUCUUUAUAAAUAACCCAAACUGUGAUAUUCUGUUACAGCAGCACAAAAUGGACUAAGACCGGUAGGUUACAUAAUUUUUAUACACUAUCCUUGAAUAGGUGGGUGAGUGUUUUAAUUUUUAGAAAUAGGGCCCAAGAGAGGACUUAGUAGGUAGAAGCACCUGUAUUCUGGUGCACACAAAGUGUAGAAACAAAUUAAGGAGACAAAUUAAAGCCACUUCCUGUACUCAAGAUGGCAUGUGUGUGUGUUUAGGUUAAAUGCAUGUUGAGAGACUGUGUACAUGUGACAGUAUCUCUGACCACCAGACACUAGUUUUCUCCACUUUUGUGACUCUUAGCUUCUGAGCCUCCUGUCCUCACAGUGUAAAAGACACGGCCAGCCCGAUGAGCCCUUAGGAAGCCGGCAGGCUGGCAAAGGCAUCUGAGACACAUCCUGACAGAUUCUAAACAAAACUGAAAAGUAUAAAGACGCUCAGCCUGUGAUGUGGCCCCAAACUGUAGAGCUGUGUCAGAUGUCCCUGCUGCCUAGGGGACCACUGGAGAUGCCAGCUUGGAGUCUCUUUGCCACAGUUGUGUUUUCCCGGCGGGGAGUGAGAAAGGCAGCGUGACUCUGAGCAGCAAUGACUGUGAGCACGCUUUAGACUCGGAAGACUGCAGGGCGGUGACAGACAGAGCCACAGAUACUUGUGGUCAUCUCUUCCGCAGAGUGAUUUUCCUCAUCCUCUUUCACCCAAUUUCAUACUUCAGGUUUUUUUUUAAUCAUUAAAAUUAAUCUUACA